CGUAGGUGGCAAGCGUUGUCCGGAUUUAUUGGGUUUAAAGGGUGCGUAGGCGGUUCUAUAAGUCAGUGGUGAAAUCCGGCAGCUCAACUGUCGAUGUGCCAUUGAUACUGCAGAACUUGAGUACAGACGAGGUAGGCGGAAUUGACGGUGUAGCGGUGAAAUGCUUAGAUAUCGUCAAGAACACCGAUAGCGAAGGCAGCUUACUAGACUGUAACUGACGCUGAUGCACGAAAGUGUGGGGAUCAAACAGGAUUAGAUACCCUGGUAGUCCACACUGUAAACGAUGAUUACUCGAUGUUAGCGAUACACAGUUAGCGUCUUAGCGAAAGCGAUAAGUAAUCCAACCUGGGGAGUACGCCGGCAACGGUG
RNAcentral lists this ribosomal RNA (369 nucleotides) under uncultured organism. RNAcentral's name for it is "bacterial SSU rRNA". It matches the Rfam family "Bacterial small subunit ribosomal RNA", at positions 526 to 896 of the family's 1533-position model. The record is from RNAcentral.